Molecule: transfer RNA, 70 nt
Filed under: Cordylochernes scorpioides
Lineage: Eukaryota; Metazoa; Arthropoda; Arachnida; Pseudoscorpiones; Chernetidae
Description: tRNA-Gly
Rfam family: tRNA
About the family: Transfer RNA (tRNA) molecules are approximately 80 nucleotides in length.
Source: RNAcentral
GUAUCGGUGGUUCAGUGGUAGAAUGCUCGCUUGCCACGCGGCCUCCAGGAUUCGAUUCCCGGCCGAUGCA